UACAGAGGGUGCUAGCGUUGUUCGGAUUCACUGGGCGUAAAGGGUGCGUAGGUGGCCGGGUAAGUUUGAUGUGAAAGCUCGGAGCUCAACUCCGAAACGGCAUUGAAUACUAUCCGGCUCGAGGGUCGGAGGGGAGACUGGAAUUCUCGGUGUAGCAGUGAAAUGCGUAGAUAUCGAGAGGAACACCAGUGGCGAAGGCGAGUCUCUGGACGACCCCUGACACUGAGGCACGAAAGCUAGGGGAGCAAACAGG
This 253-nucleotide ribosomal RNA is filed under the name uncultured bacterium. RNAcentral's name for it is "partial 16S ribosomal RNA". It matches the Rfam family "Bacterial small subunit ribosomal RNA", at positions 524 to 776 of the family's 1533-position model. The record is from RNAcentral.